CUAAUUCAUGAUCUGGCAU
Molecule: microRNA, 19 nt
Filed under: Ananas comosus (pineapple)
Lineage: Eukaryota; Viridiplantae; Streptophyta; Magnoliopsida; Poales; Bromeliaceae
Description: microRNA s0418_c50a
Source: RNAcentral